Molecule: long non-coding RNA, 1995 nt
Organism: Loxodonta africana (African savanna elephant)
Lineage: Eukaryota; Metazoa; Chordata; Mammalia; Proboscidea; Elephantidae
Exons: 4
Source: RefSeq, a predicted model, not a curated record
AAUCAUAACGUUUUCCCGGUGGUGGGAAGGACAGCUAUACAAGCAUGCCUGUCGCUGUAGUUUAACCUGUCCUUUAGAUUCUUCUCUCUUCUUCCCCACGUUCACUGUCACACUUAACCUCACCAGCGUCUCUGUUUCUCUAGCCCAGUUACGGACAAAACCAAACAUAAAAUAAAUAGCUUCCUAUUUGUCCCCUUAACACAACUAAAAUAAGCUGAUAUUUUCAAAGGAACUUUGCUAGAAAACAAAUGGACACGAGAGAAAAAAAUAACAAUGACAUUGUAAGACAUGUGACAGUGGUCCCUUUUCUGGUGCCUGACUCAUCCGAUAUGCAGGCCCUGUUCCAUCCCACAUCCUGUCUGAAGGGCUCAUGACUGGGGAUCCCAAGAGGAUAACAGACUUUAGGAUCCAAAGGCCCGGAGGCCACUUCUGUGCUCAUUCGCUCCCACUUGAAAUCAUCCUUUGGAGUUUUCUGUGGGUAAUUUUAAUAAAAAUGGGGACUGCUGUGCAGUUUUAUUUUCCCCUGCUUCCUAGCCAGAUAUGUGUAAAUCAGAGGAUCUGUCUUUUGUUUAUUUUGAAAUACUGAGGUCAUAAAAUACCUGCUUACGAGAUUACAUGAUUGCUGAAAGAUAAGCUACACAAAACAGAACCCAGAACAAUGAAUAGGUGUUACAUGGAGGGAGACUUCAUCGCAGUACCAGGAAAAAUUUUCUAACAAAUAGACCUGUCCGCAAAGGAGCUUGGAUUCCUCAAAAGCAGCUCAGCAGGAAGGAAUUGCUGCCUGAACUAGAUUGAGAACUCAGAGGAUUUCUUCACUCCUGUCUUUUCACAACCGUCCUCUCAUCGGAACUAGGAAAAUUAUUGACUAUUCCUAUCGCAGAAGGCAAGAUAUUACAGCUUUGGAGGUGUGCAUUGUGCAGCUUACCAAAACAGAGUGAUGACAGAGCUUGGAAAGAAUGGAUAGAAGAGCUUAUCAAACUAGAAAUAUAUGGGAACUUCACAAUCAUUGAGAUCAACAUGUUAUUAUGGGUUUGCAAAGAACUUCAAGCAUUUUCUCUCAACCCAGACAACGAGUCCAGUUUACAGAAGAAGAAACUGAGGUUCAGAGAAGUUAAAGUGAUCGCUCUAUGGUAAUUCAGCUAAUAAAUGCCAAAGUCCGGAUACAAAUUCAGAAACGUCUAACUCCAAAGCGUGUGUGCAUUCAUUGUCUCAUAUUGGCUCUCUGGUAAUGGUAUUAUCCUGUCUAAGGGAAGAAGCACUUAAGGAAGACUUCUAAUUUUCAAGCAAAAAGGGAAUAUGUAAAGUCUAAGAAUGCUCAACUCUUCAAUAAAGAGAUAAGAAUAAAUGACUUUUGGGUGACAAAGAAUAUAUUUUGUUUAGCUUUAAAAGUAGGUAGGAAGUUGAAGUGGUCUACUAAAGAGAGCUGUGGCAUUAAGGUGUAGAUAAUUAUCUAUCUUAAAUAGUUAUAUGGAACUGUCCAAAAGAAGACAGACAAAAGAAAUCCUAAAAAUUAGCCCUUAAAAUUCAUGUUCUCCUAGCUAUGGCAGGCCAUGAUGAAAUGCUAAGAAAUUUGUUGUUGUUGUUAGGUGUUUUCGAGUCAGUUCCUACUUACAGUGAUCUUGUCUAUGUACAACAGAAAGAAAUACUGCCCGGUCCUGCGCCAUCCUCACAAUCAUUGAUAUCCUUGAGUCUAUUGUUGUAGCCACUGUGUCAAUGCAUUUCGUUGAGGGUCUUCCACUCUUUUGCUGACCCUCUACUUUACCAAGCAUGAUGUCAUUCUCCAGGGACUGGUCCCUUCUGAUAACAUGUUCAAAGUAUGUGAGAUGAAGUCUCGCCAUCCUUGCUUCUAAGGAGAAUUCUGGCUGUACUUCUUCCAAGGCAGAUUUGUUUGUUCUUCUGGAAUUCCAUGGUACAUUCAAUAUCGUUCACCAGCAUCAUAAUUCAAAGGCAUCAAUUCUGCAUUCUUCUUUAUUUGUUGUCCAGCUUAAAAAUUUU